This 253-nucleotide ribosomal RNA is filed under the name uncultured bacterium. Its description in RNAcentral is "partial 16S ribosomal RNA". It matches the Rfam family "Bacterial small subunit ribosomal RNA", at positions 524 to 776 of the family's 1533-position model. The record is from RNAcentral.
UACGGAGGGUGCAAGCGUUAUCCGGAUUCACUGGGUUUAAAGGGUGCGUAGGUGGGUUGGUAAGUCAGUGGUGAAAUCUCCAGGCUUAACUUGGAAACUGCCAUUGAUACUAUCAAUCUUGAAUAUCGUGGAGGUCAGCGGAAUAUGUCAUGUAGCGGUGAGAUGCUUAGAUAUGACAUAGAACACCAAUUGCGAAGGCAGCUUACUACCCGAAUAUUGACACUGAGGCACGAAAGCAUGGGGAGCGAACAGG